AACGCGAAGAACCUUACCAGCUCUUGACAUCCCGAUGAAAGCAUUAGAGAUAGUGCCCCUCUUCGGAGCAUUGGAGACAGGUGGUGCAUGGUUGUCGUCAGCUCGUGUCGUGAGAUGUUGGGUUAAGUCCCGCAACGAGCGCAACCCUUGAUCUUAGUUGCCAGCAGGUAAGGCUGGGCACUCUAAGGUGACUGCCGGUGACAAACCGGAGGAAGGUGGGGAUGACGUCAAAUCAUCAUGCCCCUUAUGAGCUGGGCUACACACGUACUACAAUGGCCGGUACAACGGGAAGCGAAGCCGCGAGGUGGAGCCAAUCCUAUCAAAGCCGGUCUCAGUUCGGAUUGCAGGCUGCAACUCGCCUGCAUGAAGUCGGAAUUGCUAGUAAUCGCGGAUCAGCAUGCCGCGGUGAAUACGUUCCCGGGCCUUGUACACACCGUAGUAC
Molecule: ribosomal RNA, 442 nt
Filed under: uncultured bacterium
Lineage: Bacteria
Description: bacterial SSU rRNA
Rfam family: Bacterial small subunit ribosomal RNA
Source: RNAcentral